ACUCUUACGGGAGGCAGCAGUGGGGAAUAUUGCACAAUGGGCGCAAGCCUGAUGCAGCCAUGCCGCGUGUAUGAAGAAGGCCUUCGGGUUGUAAAGUACUUUCAGCGGGGAGGAAGGGAGUAAAGUUAAUACCUUUGCUCAUUGACGUUACCCGCAGAAGAAGCACCGGCUAACUCCGUGCCAGCAGCCGCGGUAAUA
Molecule: ribosomal RNA, 198 nt
Filed under: uncultured bacterium
Lineage: Bacteria
Description: partial 16S ribosomal RNA
Rfam family: Bacterial small subunit ribosomal RNA
Source: RNAcentral